AACGAACGCUGGCGGCAUGCCCAACACAUGCAAGUCGAACGAGACCUUCGGGUCUAGUGGCGCACGGGUGCGUAACGCGUGGGAACCUGCCCUUAGGUUCGGAAUAACUCCCCGAAAGGGGUGCUAAUACCGGAUAAUGUCUUCGGACCAAAGAUUUAUCGCCUUUGGAUGGGCCCGCGUUAGAUUAGCUAGUUGGUAGGGUAAAAGCCUACCAAGGCGACGAUCCAUAGCUGGUCUGAGAGGAUGAUCAGCCACACUGGGACUGAGACACGGCCCAGACUCCUACGGGAGGCAGCAGUGGGGAAUAUUGGACAAUGGGCGAAAGCCUGAUCCAGCAAUGCCGCGUGAGUGAUGAAGGCCUUAGGGUUGUAAAGCUCUUUUACCCGGGAUGAUAAUGACAGUACCGGGAGAAUAAGCUCCGGCUAACUCCG
RNAcentral lists this ribosomal RNA (431 nucleotides) under uncultured bacterium. RNAcentral's name for it is "partial 16S ribosomal RNA". It matches the Rfam family "Bacterial small subunit ribosomal RNA", at positions 29 to 505 of the family's 1533-position model. The record is from RNAcentral.